This 707-nucleotide ribosomal RNA is filed under the name Pseudomonas fluorescens. Its description in RNAcentral is "bacterial SSU rRNA". It matches the Rfam family "Bacterial small subunit ribosomal RNA", at positions 195 to 893 of the family's 1533-position model. Lineage: Bacteria; Pseudomonadati; Pseudomonadota; Gammaproteobacteria; Pseudomonadales; Pseudomonadaceae. The record is from RNAcentral.
UUCGGGCCCUUGGCGGCUAAUCAGAUUGAGCCCUAGGUUCGGAAUAGCUAGUUGGGUGAGGUAAUGGCUCACCCAGGCGACGAUCCGUAACUGUUCUGAGAGGAUGAUCAGUCACACUGGAACUGAGACACGGUCCAGACUCCUACGGGAGGCAGCAGUGGGGAAUAUUGCACAAUGGGCGAAAGCCUGAUCCAGCCAUGCCGCGUGUGUGAAGAAGGUCUUCGGAUUGUAAAGCACUUUAAGUUGGGAGGAAGGGCAUUAACCUAAUACGUUAGUGUUUUGACGUUACCGACAGAAUAAGCACCGGCUAACUCUGUGCCAGCAGCCGCGGUAAUACAGAGGGUGCAAGCGUUAAUCGGAAUUACUGGGCGUAAAGCGCGCGUAGGUGGUUUGUUAAGUUGAAUGUGAAAUCCCCGGGCUCAACCUGGGAACUGCAUCCAAAACUGGCAAGCUAGAGUAUGGUAGAGGGUGGUGGAAUUUCCUGUGUAGCGGUGAAAUGCGUAGAUAUAGGAAGGAACACCAGUGGCGAAGGCGACCACCUGGACUGAUACUGACACUGAGGUGCGAAAGCGUGGGGAGCAAACAGGAUUAGAUACCACUGGUAGUCCACGCCGUAAACGAUGUCAACUAGCCGUUGGGAGCCUUGAGCUCUUGAGUGGCGCAAGCUAACGCAUUAAGUUUACCGCCUGCGGAGUACGUCAGUCAUA